This 100-nucleotide transfer RNA is filed under the name Anopheles culicifacies. RNAcentral describes it as "tRNA tRNA-Tyr". It matches the Rfam family "tRNA". From Rfam's summary of the family: Transfer RNA (tRNA) molecules are approximately 80 nucleotides in length. Their secondary structure includes four short double-helical elements and three loops (D, anti-codon, and T loops). The record is from RNAcentral. Lineage: Eukaryota; Metazoa; Arthropoda; Insecta; Diptera; Culicidae.
CCUUCGAUAGCUCAGUUGGUAGAGCGGUGGACUGUAGAGCGAGUCGAGAGAGAGAGCGAUAGUAAUCCAUAGGUCACUGGUUCAAAUCCGGUUCGAAGGA